RNAcentral lists this small RNA (148 nucleotides) under Macaca mulatta (Rhesus monkey). RNAcentral's name for it is "Metazoan signal recognition particle RNA (ENSMMUG00000055943.1)". Lineage: Eukaryota; Metazoa; Chordata; Mammalia; Primates; Cercopithecidae. RNAcentral also lists the same sequence under 1 other name. The record is from Rfam by way of RNAcentral.
GCUGGGCAUGGUGGCGCAUGCCUGUAAUCCUAGCUACUCAGGAAGCUGAGGCAGGAGAAUUGCUUGAACCCAGGAAGCAGAGGUUGCAGUGAGCUGAGAUCACGCCACUACACUCCAGCCCGGGUGACAGAGUGAGACUCUGUCUCAG